This 318-nucleotide ribosomal RNA is filed under the name Trichoderma sp. BAB-3874. Its description in RNAcentral is "eukaryotic LSU rRNA". The stretch from base 1 to 93 matches the Rfam family "5.8S ribosomal RNA", at positions 62 to 154 of the family's 154-position model. The record is from RNAcentral. Lineage: Eukaryota; Fungi; Ascomycota; Sordariomycetes; Hypocreales; Hypocreaceae.
UUGGUGUGAAUUGCAGAAUUCAGUGAAUCAUCGAAUCUUUGAACGCACAUUGCGCCCGCCAGUAUUCUGGCGGGCAUGCCUGUCCGAGCGUCAUUUCAACCCUCGAACCCCUCCGGGGGGUCGGCGUUGGGGAUCGGCCCUGCCUUUGGCGGUGGCCGUCUCCGAAAUACAGUGGCGGUCUCGCCGCAGCCUCUCCUGCGCAGUAGUUUGCACACUCGCAUCGGGAGCGCGGCGCGUCCACAGCCGUUAAACACCCAACUUCUGAAAUGUUGACCUCGGAUCAGGUAGGAAUACCCGCUGAACUUAAGCAUAUCAAUA